This 245-nucleotide ribosomal RNA is filed under the name Sarcocystis hominis. RNAcentral's name for it is "partial small subunit ribosomal RNA". It matches the Rfam family "Eukaryotic small subunit ribosomal RNA", at positions 131 to 355 of the family's 1831-position model. The record is from RNAcentral. Lineage: Eukaryota; Apicomplexa; Conoidasida; Eucoccidiorida; Sarcocystidae.
ACUACUACAUGGAUAACCGUGGUAAUUCUAUGGCUAAUACAUGCGCAAAUACUAUAUCUUUACGAUAUAGUAGUGUUUAUUAGAUACAGAACCAACACGCUCCUUUUUGGGGGUGUCAAAGUUAGGUGAUUCAUAGUAACCGAACGGAUCGCAUUAUGAUCAUAUUCUUAUGAUUGGCGAUAGAUCAUUCAAGUUUCUGACCUAUCAGCUUUCGACGGUAGUGUAUUGGACUACCGUGGCAGUGA